This 1486-nucleotide long non-coding RNA is filed under the name Olea europaea subsp. europaea. The record is from RNAcentral. Lineage: Eukaryota; Viridiplantae; Streptophyta; Magnoliopsida; Lamiales; Oleaceae.
UAUAUAUAAAAUCCUCUGUAGAAUUUUGUCUGUCAAGAAAUUUACAAAUUAAUAUUAUGUUAGCGUUAACAUUUACAUGUCUUAUAUCCACAAAACAAUUAAUAUCCAAACAAGCUCAUCAUCAUCAAAAAAGUUUGCUUGCAAACUCUUCAAUUUCCUCCUCUUCUUUGCAGGAAGAAGAAGUUGCAAGAUCUCUAAGCUGCGAUAGGCUCCUUCCCAACUGUAAUGCCACCUUCAUUUCAAACAAUUCUCCAUUUUCUCUUCUCCCCGUAUCUUUUUCAAUCAAGUUCGAUUCCAUGGACUCUUCCAUCAGCUCAAAGAAUCCGGCGUUGCUCCGGUACAUCUCGAACACCAUUCCGACUUGCAUGCCGUGCUCAAAUGUAUUUACAACACUUGCUAAAGCACCAGCAACAACUCCGAGCACCACUGCCCAAGAGCCAUGAUUAGGAGACCCAACAAAAGCGGAGCCAAGUGCUGCUAAUCCUGUUAGCACAGGACCACUAAUGGCUAGAAAUUUGUUCAAUUUCAAGGCUUUUCCUCCCAACCUCAAGUAGUCUGCUUUGUCUUUCUUUCUUAUAACACCAAUUAUUUCUCUCAUUUCCUCCUCCAACUUCCCAUUCCAACCAUUCCAACCUUUCUUCCCAUCGAGGCCUUUCGCCUGCCUCCGGCGCUGCUCCGGCCACCACACUGCAGGCUCUACAUUCCCGGGGAAUUUCUUGAGCAUUGCACCAAGAAGAGGAAGGGGGUAGGCCUUGUCAAGAGCCAAAACUUUUUCCAUCAUUUCCUUCACAUCACUAGUUGCAGGAUUACCCAUUUCUAUAAUUGUUUGAAUCUGAUUAUGAAGUUGUUUGAACCACCUAGCUGCAUUUCUUUGUUCCUCCGCAAGCUGAGAUGGCUGAAUCUUGUUCAUAAUCGAGAGCAUCCCCGUUGCUGAAAGAUACAUGACGGUGGAAGAAAGCUUUAGUGCAGCCACCGGAGCACCACCGCCGACCGCACUCGUGGAGGCGAUUCCUGUCAUAGCUGCCGCCGCAAGAGUGAGUGCAUUGAUGGAUGUCAAAAGCAGGCUGUUCCAAUUGUUUCUUUGCUCCCCAAUAUUCUUGUGCAUCUCCACCCUAUCUGCAACUGCCUCGAGGAUUGCAUAAAGUUUGGCCAUUACCAAUGGUUCGGGACCGUCAUUAUCAUUUCUUUUGAACGUAUUAAUAUUGAUAGGACUGAGUUUUUUGUCAGUGAAAUUGUGUGACUCCAGUUCCUCCACAAUUCCCUUUGACCGUAGCCCCGAAAGAGAAAUGUUUUUCGUUCUCCUCGGAACGUUUAAGGUUGCCCGAACGAUUCCUCUUCUGCGAUCCCAGGAAGAAGAAGAAGAACUGGAUGAACACACGAUGCUUGAAUUCUGAAGGGUUGCCAUGUUUUUCUUCUUUUACGAUAAUAUAAUCUUUUCUUGAUGAGCUUUUUACUCUGUGGGUAUGUUACUAUGAUAAUUCUAUUC